This is a long non-coding RNA of Mustela erminea (ermine), 333 nucleotides long. RefSeq lists it as uncharacterized. Lineage: Eukaryota; Metazoa; Chordata; Mammalia; Carnivora; Mustelidae. The transcript is spliced from 4 exons. The record is from RefSeq and is a predicted model, not a curated record.
CUUGAAGCUGGCUACCCUGUACCUCUGUUGAAUCAUCUCUCUGGGCCCGUGGGAUAACUAGGGCACCUCUGCUCCACAAGCCUUCGAUUCUUCUGGGAUCAGAAGGUGACUCAGAGCAUGGUCUUCUCUUGGAGAUAGAAAGAGAAGAGGGCAAGCUUACCUCUAAAGGAUAAAGACUGCUUUCUCCCUCAAAGCCAUACGUACACUAAAGGAAUCACGGCACAAAGAAAAGAAGAGCGGAACAGAAUUAUGAAGCUUCUCUUGAGAACCAAGUUCUUUCCACAUGUAUGGACAGAGGCCAUGGGAUAGAGGAGAAUUACAAUUAAGGAGGAG